This 46-nucleotide non-coding RNA is filed under the name Schistosoma margrebowiei. Lineage: Eukaryota; Metazoa; Platyhelminthes; Trematoda; Strigeidida; Schistosomatidae. The record is from RNAcentral.
GCACUACUGAGGAGUCCCAUACUAGGACGAAACGGCUGUCUAGUGC